UUUUUAUUAUUUUUAGAAGAAAAGGAAAAGGCUUUUAGCAUAAGGCCUACACGAACGGUCGCACGUGUGCUUUAAACCUUUAAAACGUAUUUUUUUGAUUAUUUUUUUUAUGAUUUAUAUAUAUAUAUAUAUAUAUUUUUAUUUUUAUUAACAAACAAUAAUAAAAGAAAUUCUAAAAGUACAGAAAUAAAAGCAAAGACAAUAAAAAAAACAUUACAUUCUAAUAGACCCAAUAGAAAUAGGGUACAAAGAUUAAAAACCAGGGGUGCUGAACAAAAUUGAGACUCUUCUGGUUUAAGCCCAAGCCCUUCCUCCAACUUUGUAGACUGUUAGUGUUAGGGGUGUAUGGCCAAAAAUGGGGCUGCAACCCGAAAUUGCAUGCUCAGGCCCAAUCCUUCUUUUCUUUUGUUUGCAGGAACGAAAUGGGCUACAACCCAAAUGAAUUGGGGGUGUAACGGUCAAAUUUAGGAAUGGCGUAGAGAAAAUUUUGAGGCUUUCUGAUUUGGGCCCGAAGCUCUUUUUCUUCAAACUUAGAAACCACUAGGGUUUCUUUCUACAUCCUCUUUCUACAACGUGCAAGACCAAGGGAACGACCAAAGGUUCUCUCGCCGAACACUCUUCACCACUAAUAGCUACCAGCAUUGACAUUGGUGACCCUCGCAACUUCGUCACGCAGCUCGGGGCCUUCAGCCAUCCUACAUCGAUGCUCAUGCUCAUGCCCUGUGCAACCUAUCCUCCUUUCCCCUUUGAAAGGUGCGACCCAUGAGGAUCAGGAACUGUCAUUCCUAACCUCGGCGAACUCCACACUAUCGUCGUCGCCAAGACUGUCGACGAAGUUACUCACCGUAAGAAUGCCAUCGCUCUUCGCCGCGGCUUAACCUUUUUAUUCUCACCCGUGCCCCCCUCCAAUGCAGAGAGCUAACGCCUAUACGUUGUCGACAACACCGGCCUCCAUCAGAAAAGUCGACUCAAACCUUUCGCUUUCCCCUCUCUGAUUCGACUCAAUGGCCGCCCCUCGUCAUUGCGACUAUUAUUUCUCUUCUCCCCUUUUUCUGUGCUUUGAUCGAGUUUGGGUUUUUGGGUUUUUUGGUGGUUAUGGUUGAAUAUUGUGUUAACUUAGCUUAUGGCUUGCUGAAAUUUCUCUAACAGAGAGAAUUUGAAAUAGGAAGAGGAUGAAUCUCUUGGGGUUCCACUCUCUAUCAUUUUUCUCGUGCUUCCAAUGGAUUCCCUUUUUUUGCUAUUGGCUUUACUUUUUGUUCUCUGUUGUAUGUGAAUGGUAGUUGUAGAUAAUGGUUGAGAAUUGGGUGAGGGGCCCAUCUAUUGCAGGUGAGGAAUUGGGAACUAAAAAGGAAAAAAAUUUGAUUGGCUGGUUACGGGUGAUGAGGGCGUGAGGAUGGUGUGGUUUUUUGACUAAGGGAAAUGGAAAAGAAGGAUGAGCGAUCGGUCAAGGUAUAAACUGAAAUGAAGAAGUUGGUAGGGUGUUGGAGGGUGACCAAAGGUAUGGAGCGAGUAUUGCGGAAGAACGAUACUGACGUGGGGAGGACAAUGGCAUUGAUGAGCGAGUAUUCUGGAACAAGCCACUAACGUGGUGAGGUGGUUAUAGGCGAGAGGCGGAUGUUACAAGAUAUGGUAUAACAGUUACAAAGGAAGUUAAGGCCCAUUUAUGGGCCUUAUCUCUAUAAAUACGGACAAGUUAAACAAGGUAGACUCUCUGAACUAAUUAUCGAUAUUUUUACCCUAGUUGUGACCUGGCUGACUUGAGCGUUGGAGUGCUAACGUACAUG
RNAcentral lists this long non-coding RNA (1784 nucleotides) under Vigna radiata. RNAcentral describes it as "long non-coding RNA (VRAD_LNC014850)". Lineage: Eukaryota; Viridiplantae; Streptophyta; Magnoliopsida; Fabales; Fabaceae. The record is from RNAcentral.